UACGGAGGGUGCAAGCGUUAUCCGGAUUCACUGGGGUUAAAGGGUGCGUAGGCGGCUUGAUAAGUCAUUGGUGAAAGCUCGCGGCUCAACCGCGAAACUGCCAAUGAAACUGCCAAGCUUGAAUCUGGUUGAAGUGGGCGGAAUACAACAUGUAGCGGUGAAAUGCUUAGAUAUGUUGUAGAACACCGAUUGCGAAGGCAGCUCACUAAGCCAAUAUUGACGCUGAGGCACGAAAGCGUGGGUAGCGAACAGG
Molecule: ribosomal RNA, 253 nt
Filed under: uncultured bacterium
Lineage: Bacteria
Description: partial 16S ribosomal RNA
Rfam family: Bacterial small subunit ribosomal RNA
Source: RNAcentral